UGUCCACCUUGUUAAACACUUAUCAUUAUUAUUAAAAUUUCAGAUUUGUUGAGAGCAGAAUUUUCUUUGAGUUUUCUCCAAGAUUUCUCUCUUGAGUUUUCUUUAGAAGUUGUUUUAACAAUCUUGUGAUUGUGGGAGCCAUCUUCAACCUUCUUCUUGCCAUUGAUAUUCUUUGGAGGGGAGAUUAGAGCCGUUUGAAGGGAGUUGUGAGAUCUUUCGAUAUUUCAAGGCUUCUUAGGACUUAUCUUUUAAUUUCUUACUGUCAAUUCUUUCUUUAUUUCUACUUGUGCUGAAUCAUUAUCUA
Molecule: long non-coding RNA, 304 nt
Filed under: Gossypium barbadense (sea-island cotton)
Lineage: Eukaryota; Viridiplantae; Streptophyta; Magnoliopsida; Malvales; Malvaceae
Description: long non-coding RNA (GBAR_LNC022819)
Source: RNAcentral